Long non-coding RNA from Urocitellus parryii (Arctic ground squirrel), 2402 nucleotides. RefSeq lists it as uncharacterized. The record is from RefSeq and is a predicted model, not a curated record. NCBI's taxonomy places the organism in Eukaryota, Metazoa, Chordata, Mammalia, Rodentia, Sciuridae.
GACACAGCCCCACCCUGCCCCUGCCCCCUGCAUGCCCAGACAGCUUGGCAUGGCCCGGACCCCGCCAUUCAAUGGGUAGCCUGCCCUCUGGCCCCUCACACAAUAGGGACUCCAGGAAUACUGUCCCCCAGGCUGAAUCAAAGGCUCUAAAUUUAGCCCAUCUGCUCCUGCGAGCUUCCUGCCCCUGCUCCCUCCUUUCCAGGCGAUGAGGUCACCCCGGAACCGCCUGCCCUGCAGCCAGGCCGGGGGUUUCCAGGUCCGGGGUGUUCUGCUGCUCUGGGGGACAGGGCCUGGAGCGUCCUCCUCCCUCCAGGGCCCUGGGGCCCCUCCUGCUCCUGGCCCGGCGGCCGACGUCCUCCUGGCCACCCCGGCCGGGCUGAGUCCCGGGAAUGUCACCAAAAUGACUUAUGGAGAGUCCAGUCCAUGCUGGCCCUGCGCCCAGGAGAGGGCAGCGGACCGGACCGGGACAGGUCCUGCCCUCUCGGCAGGGACAAUCAGCAAGUAGACCAUAAACCAACCAGACAGUGUCACUCAUGGAAAGUGGCCUGAAGGAAAUAAAGGAGAGAUGCCAUCACGCACCAGGGUGAGCGGAGGGCAUCGCCUGGAGGGGUCAGCGAAGGCCCCGGGUGACACCUGAGCCGGGGCUCGGAUGACCAGAAGAACUAUUCGAAGAUCUGGGUGGGGCUGCACCCUCCAGGCCAKCGGAGGGUGAGGCAGACGCCGGGAAGAGCCCCCUGGCUCCGGGCGCAGCUGGGGGGGGGGUGACUGCGAGGGGGCCGUGUGCGGGGCGGCCAGCGGCCCGACUCGGUUUUAAAAAGCUGUGUCGCUGGCACAUGGACAGGACCAGGAAGGACAAGAACUGAGCACCCUCAACUGCGGGCAAAGGCACCUUGAGGAGUUUCCUCCUUUAGUCCCUUCAUGAGUCACAGUGGCCCAGAGAGGAUAUGUGUCCCACAGCAGGUCAGCUGUCCCCGGAACACCGCUGAGAGUAGGUAGUAAGAGGCACUUGGUCACCUGCCUUCAGCCAGCAGCAUCCCCUCCAGGCUGAGCUAGGCUCCAUGUGGGGGUGACGGUCGGCAGAGCCCGGAGGCCCGAUCCCUGAGCGGGGGAGGUCCCCUGUCUGCGGCCGGCUCCCUCCCUCAGCACUGACCAGCUGCCACCUCCCCUCUGUCCCUCCCUGAAUGGCUCCACGAAGCUCCUCUCCCCCACUCCGCCAGGAACCCAGGUGGUCCCAGGGUGCUGGAAACCUCUGAUGAGGGUCAGGAGCAGCUGGAGGAGCCGGGGCCAGGAGAGGUGGCGAACAUCUACCCAGUCCAGAUCCACGGUGCACGGGCACUGGCUCCGCCAGGCUGUGGCAGGAUGGCAGGAUGGCAGGCGGCUGCAGAACGGCGGAAGCCACCGCGAGGUCAGAGAAACACGAAGCUGGGCGCCGGGUGACCCCAGAGUGUGGAGGACACCGGGCGUGUGGGGACAGGAACGGGCACCAGACUGUGGCACGUGGGCCACAGUCCCGCGUCCUGGGCGAGGCCAUGUCCAGGCCUGGGGCCUGUGUGGGCUGCAACCUUGGAAUUUCUCAUAAGCAAGAGCGUGUGACCACCGACACCUGCCUCUGCAGAGCCAGCUCCCGUGGCCACGGGGGUCAGAGGAGGGGCCAUCAGAAGGUGACAGGUGACAGGCACAGGUGACAGGCCCAGGAAAGGUGAAGGGAGGCCUGGCUGGAGAACUGAUUUGGGAGGACUCUGUGGCCAGGUGGGAGUCUGGGCCUGGGGCAGCUGCCCAGAUCUAAGAAGGGCCUCCUCAGCAGAGGCCAGGAGAAGUUGCGGGGGGCCGGGGGGCUCACAGACACACACACAAGUGCACACUCACAAGUACUGAGCACACUCCUGCUCACACAUACAAGGAGGAGAGCAGGCCAGGCCCAGAAGGACGGCUCCGAGGCAGACGCACGAGGUCCAGGCCGAGGCCUGCUUGGUCCCUCUUCGCUGCCCAGGAGAACCCCCUCCAGGCUGCCCAGGGGAGCCGCGGCUGGCCAGGGUGGGCUGGCUGAGUGGAGCGCGCUCCGUGGCCCCUGAGGCUGUCACGGGAAGCAGCACUUGGUUCUCUGGACGCUGGCCUCUGCAGCCCCAGGCGGCCACUCUAGGACACUCAGCCGCCCACACAGUCCCAAGUCCAGCCACUGACCACAGCUGUGUGAGACCCCAAGCCACACAGCCUUGCUCAGCCCUUCCUGACUUCCUGACGUGCAGAAGCUACGAGAACAAGCUGCUUCUUUGCCCAGAGCAGGGCCUGGCCUGCCAUGCAGCUGUGAGUGAGUGGAUGGAUGCAUGCAUGACUCAUCUCACCCCUGAUGGUGACAGGGUGACAGGGAGAGCGCUGAGCCUUUCAAGACAGGUUGCUCACAG